Long non-coding RNA from Cyprinus carpio carpio, 941 nucleotides. The record is from Ensembl. NCBI's taxonomy places the organism in Eukaryota, Metazoa, Chordata, Actinopteri, Cypriniformes, Cyprinidae.
CACGAAGCACAGGUGUCACCUCUGAUCCAGCAGCUCGAGCGGCGCGCGCGCAUGUGUGUGUGAAAUGAGCGCGUGAGAACGCGAGAGGCUGGUUUUUGGAUCUGCUAACACCUGUCGUGCUAAAAUUCGUGUUACAUGGGAUUGUAAAUCAGCUCCGGGAAAAGCGCGUGCCAGAGAGCGAGAGAGAGAGAGACUCGCUGUCCAGCGCACCUCUGACCUUCUGGUGCUGAUUCCAGGUGUCUUAAUUACUCUGAGGAAGUGGCGUUCUGGCUGGCGGUCAGCUGCUGCGACGGGUCCAUUUGCAUGUCUGUGUAGUGAGAGGUUGGCAGCGAAUCCUCCCGUCCAGAUUGCGGCCCCUCUCCGCGGUGAGACCGCCUUGGAGGAGACUGCGUUGUGGGAUUAGGGUUUUAGCAGCGAAGGUCCCCGGAGACGCUCACGCUGGGCCGCUGUCCGUGAUGCAUUAAUCAUGUCCGAAUCCUCAAGACAAAGAGCCACGCGUUUCUCGUCUGCAUGUGAAAUGAUGCGACGCGGGCCUGCCACGAGGUUAAACUCUCAAACGUGCUCUUUGAUGGGCUUUAAUGAGAUGUCAGCGCCCAGACGGAUUUCUCUGCUGUCCCGUAAAACAGGCCACGGAGCACGAAGCCGCAUCUCUGUGAUCUGCUCAAAAACACACCUAGAUGUGUCGCAACACUUUCACACAAUCACCGCGUCAGGAGUGUGACGUCUGUCAAGCAGGAUUUAAGUUGAGUUUAUGCAAAGAGGCACCCCAGACAGCAAGCAGUUUCGGUCCAGAUCCGGCCCACAUCCGGCCCCCCAUGGAUUUCACACAGGCCAGAUGUGGGCCGGAUCUGGGCCAACACUAUGUUGUUAUCUGAGACUAAACUGAAAGCCCUUUCAGAUCAGAACCGUGAGUCAAACCUGCUUCAUACUCAUCAACUUCU